This 74-nucleotide transfer RNA is filed under the name Chloroflexota bacterium. RNAcentral's name for it is "Chloroflexi bacterium tRNA-Gly". It matches the Rfam family "tRNA". From Rfam's summary of the family: Transfer RNA (tRNA) molecules are approximately 80 nucleotides in length. Their secondary structure includes four short double-helical elements and three loops (D, anti-codon, and T loops). Further hydrogen bonds mediate the characteristic L-shaped molecular structure. tRNAs have two regions of fundamental functional importance: the anti-codon, which is responsible for specific mRNA codon recognition, and the 3' end, to which the tRNAs corresponding amino acid is attached (by aminoacyl-tRNA synthetases). tRNAs cope with the degeneracy of the genetic code in two manners: having more than one tRNA (with a specific anti-codon) for a particular amino acid; and 'wobble' base-pairing, i.e. permitting non-standard base-pairing at the 3rd anti-codon position. The record is from RNAcentral. Lineage: Bacteria; Bacillati; Chloroflexota.
GCGGGGAUAGUUGAGUGGCCCAACGUGGGCUUCCCAAGCCCAAAACGCGGGUUCGAUUCCCGUUCCCCGCUCCA